CGCUACGGCCACGCGGCCCGGAACACACCUGAUCCCGUCUGGUCUCGGAAGCUAAGCAGAGUCGGGCCUGCUUAGUACUUGGAUGGGAGACCACCUGGGAAGACCGGGUGCUAUAGGGG
This 119-nucleotide ribosomal RNA is filed under the name Pteropus alecto (black flying fox). Lineage: Eukaryota; Metazoa; Chordata; Mammalia; Chiroptera; Pteropodidae. The record is from RNAcentral.